GAAAAAAAGGUGAAAAACAGAAUUGGACACAAGAAGUACUAAUAGUUUUCCCAACACAAAGAGAGGCUGAUUUCUCAACAGUAAAAUGAUAGUUAGUAUUCGUGCAAAACUUUUGAAAUACCCCUGCAAAGUUAGUAUUCAUGUCCAUACCUUGAAAAGCCUUGUUUAUUUGCAUAUGUACCGAAGAGGGAUACCUCACGUUGCAAAUAAGCAAGGUUUUUUAGGUAUAAACACACAAAUAGUGACUCUGCAAAAAUAUUUGCGUACUUGUGCAUAUUUGCAGGCAAAAGAUCCUAUUUCUUUUCUUAAACAUCCAAAUGGUUUCGUUGCAUUUUCAAGUGGCUUCAUGCAUGGGUUAUGUGGUAGGCUCUGUUCAACUGAUAAUUUAUGUAUUAUUUGAGCUUGCACAUAUAAUCGAGUGUAAGACUGCAUAAUCCUUUCAUCUACGCAACAAAUGACAAGUCAUUCGAUCAGCUAAACAUAAAAUUGAAUUACAGAAAUGUAGAUGAAAACCUAUCCUUAGAAUAAUGUUAUUCUUGUUAGUUUAAGAAAACUUACAAUAAAAGAGCACAGGCAGCCUCUUUACACUUAGAAACUCGAGUGUUAUAACCCCGUUUCUUGGGUAGAUUGUGCUGAAGCCCUGAAAAUGCCAACAAAAUUUUGAACACUAGUUGUCCUCCCUCAGGUUGCCGAUUUUUAUUCAACUUUGAGAAGUAAACAUAGGAGGGUGUUAUAGUCAAUUCACACAAAACAAAAAUAUGAAUCAUAUGUUAAUCUAAUCAAUUAGCAACAAUAGAAACAGAAAAUUAACUAACGGGGGGGAAGAAAAAAAAAUACUUAUGACCGAAAAGAGAAAUGAAAUAUAGUCUAAAGAAAUGAGUAGAGAAUGAAACAUUAGAGCAUGUAUUUUGAGCACUUAAAUUAUUACCUUGCAAUCCAUAAAAGUAAGAUAACCAGACCGUGAAAGCAAAAUAGCUGAUGGAUCCAGAAUACCAUUUCUAAGGCCCAAGUACUUAUUUUCGAUCAUCCUGAAAUAAUCAAAGUUGGCAAGGCCGAACAUCUUUGGGGCCCUGAUCAACAAAUUACAAUACAAGAAACACUACAAAGCCUUUUACUUAUAGUUGAUGAGCACUAGCAAAUUAAAGAUAGCUUACUAGCACCCAAGACGAAGCAAAAUGCGCCAAAUCCAAGAAUACCCAACAAAUGAGUCACCUGAAAAUUUGAAUCACAUCAUCGAAAAGAAACUCAGUUUAGUGCAAAAUCAAAUAAUUUGACAACCAAAUUCAUUUGUUGACGGAGAAAUUGUUUUAAAACUCAAAAUUAAGAAAUUGAUAUGUAACCAUAUAUCCAAAAUGCCCAUAGCCAUGUCAUUAAUAGUACUCAAAAGAUAUGACUCAAAAAUUGUCUUAGCACCUCUCCGAAGGAUACAAGACAUGUGGUAAAUGCUAAUUUUCACAAAUAAUGCCAUGAAUUUAAAACUAGCUUUGAUAACAUAUUACCAAAUAAUCGAUUGAAUAGAAAGCGACCAGUAAUCUUAGUACUGGAUAUCUAGGAUGGCAAACUGAAGUAGCAACUGUAUAAUAAGAUUCAAUGAAGUAACUAUUAUAUGAGUAGAAUUAGCUCAGAUUUAACAUGAUUCAUAUUUGUAUGGUGGAAGCAACAGACCUACAAACCAGAUGCAACUACUACUCUAAUAAAACAUGAAGAUGUCAAUAUAGAGUCAUGACAAUAGCAAUCAAGUAAGAUCUAUGUCGUAAUAAAAUAUGAAGAUGUCAAUAGGGGAAAUUCUAACUAAAGUAGGUAGUGAUGAGAAUUACUUACGAGACGUGUUUGUAUCUGCCACUAGAAACAUCAUUAACUUUGAGUAAGAAGCAACUAGUUUGUGUGAAUAGCAAACAAAUGCAUAUAUAUCUUUCAGUAGAGAUAUAUAUAGCAAACAAAUGCAUAUAUGUGUGAAUAGCCCAGCUUCAAGUAGAACUAACGAUUUCAAGCCAUAAAGAUGAAGUUGCUCAGGCUGAAGUUCAUUUAAGGAAUCAAAAGACUCAAGUGGGUUCAUUAUAUUAAGCAAAGUGGAGGGAAAAGGUUCUCAAGUUUGAAAAUAGAAGUUGAAAAUUGAAAAAUCUUUACCAAAGAAUCCAUGAUUUAGAUGAGUCUCAAAUAAGUUUUGGUUCAUGUAUCAGAAUGCAGAAAUAAGCAAGAUAAAUCAGUUACUAAGUUCCAGUUGUUGACUGUUGACUUGUACUUACCAAGUCCAUUUGCAUCUGAACCCUUCAUGAUCCUCAGCCUCCAGCAAGAGUCCAUGAACAUCCUGAAAUUCAAACAAUUGAGAAAGAAAAUCAGUAAUCGAGCAUCACUGAAAUGCAUACUCAAAUGCAAACACAAUCUGAUAUUACAAAAUGCAUAUGAUGAAAGAACGGACAAAUUUACACCAACAAAUAACUAGAAUGUGUACAAUGUCAAUCAUAAUUGUAUAACUUUCAAAUAAUAAAUUCCACAAUGCAACAUCUCAUUCAAAUAAAAACAGCCAACUCUGUUCACAAAUUGACUAUAUUCUAGAUCAUUUUGAAUGGAGACCCAUUUUUGGCCGAAUUAAUUCGAGAACGCAAUAGUAACUGCAAAAUGAAACAAAAAAAAGACUAAAUUAAAUUCAAGAGCAUAGAAAUAUUAGCACAACUCUACGUCCAAUUGUUUCAAUAUAAGUUAUCCAUACCAAGGAUUUAAGUGCCGUAGCACGGGGUUGUGCCGGAAACUUGCCGGCACGGUACGACACAGUGCGUGCCGAGCUGUGCCGAUGUGUGCCAGUCAAAACAAUUCUUGUGUGUCGACAUAUGAUAGCAUGAAAUAUUUAUUUUCUUCAGCAACAAAAAAUUCUAACUAUUUAUUAUGCCUUUUUAUCACAUCUUUUGAACUUUAUUGAGGAAAUUACUUACUAAUUUAAAGAAUAGAGGGUUUUGAGAUGUAUCAUCGGUACGGGGCCUGUAUCGUGCCAGUAUCUUGUUGGCACGGUACGACACGGUCGAUACGGCUCGUGCCGACGGGCACUUAAAACCUUGAUCCAUAGUUUCAUACUAUAUAAAUAAGAAAUUUUACUAAAUUUAGUGACAAUUAAGCCAAAUUUAGAUGAUUCGAUUCAAAUAAGUAAAAUAACUCAAGUCACAAUACUAAAAAUUAAAAAUGUGCCAAAAAGCUAAGGAGCACAUUACGAAAUUGGCUACAGUUGAGGGAGUCUCUUACAACUGCCUUAUUCCCUAAUAGGAGGACACUUUAGCAAGGCUUCUAUAAUUAAUGCUCUCUCUCCCUGCAUGGGUCCUCCUAAGCCACAUGAAAACAUAUACAAUGACAAUUUCUGCUUUAGCCUCACAAAACAUUAGUAGCUUCUUCAAUAUCAAUUUCCCCUUUUCUUUCCUUGUUGUUCUUUCACUUCAUUCCUCCACCAAUUUCCCUCACUAGCUACUACUAUUUAUUACACGCCUAGGCUAUAGAAAAACUAAUGCAUCGUAUUAUCAUAGAAAAGUGCCAAAGAAAGGGCAAAGUGAUGAAUCACAUAAACAUUGAGAGUUAAAUAUGGAUAAUAUCAGGGGACUUUCUAGAUCUUAGAACCAUUCAUCUAGGCUCUGAUAUUAUAUUUAGAGUUUGAAAAAUGUAUAGAAAUAAAAAUCGAAACGUAAGGCUAUUUCCCUUAAAAUUAUAAUUUGAAAAUAAGGAGAAAAGCACUACUACUGAUUUUAAUGAUCCAAACUCAAUGCAACCUGAUUGAUUUCGUUCAUAUCAAGAAAAAAUAUGCAAAAUUCAAGUUAAUUCGUUUCCCAUCAAAAAUCAACAUUAAUCAACAAAUUUCCAUUCAGUUUACGCAAUUUUCCAUUCCAAUACCUCCUAAGUCAUGAGAUAAAUUAACACCGGAAAAAUAAUGAAAAGGUAAUUAAGUGAGCGAUUUCUACAUUUACCCACAAAAUAACUAGAGAUUGUAGACGUUGUCGGCAGCGGUGAAGUGGAUGAUGCCGGCGAUUUGGUGGUGCUCGAGGAAGCUCGAGCUCGGAGAGGAGGGGUGGAGGGUGGGGCGUUCGUGUGAGGUCGACGCAGGGGAGAGGCACGGUUGUGACGCCCCAACUUUCCAGGGGUCACCCAUCUUAGGAUUACUCCCGUCCUAGCACGCUUAAUUCUCUUAACCUCUUGGGCCUAGCCACCACCCAAAAUACUUAAGUCGGAUUAAGAGUUCUUGUUCUAUUAUAUCUUAUAUAUAGGACUAUCUGGGGUCUCACAGCGGUGGAGUGGGAUCAAUCGGGUUGGUUUGGGUUAGGGUUAGGGUUCUAUUAGGGCUCAAAAUUAGAUAUAUUUAACAUAAAAUUAUUAGUUGGUAAAAACUAUAGUUGAAAAUAAUUGUCGCUAAAAUAUAAAUUAAUAACAAAUAAUAAUGGCCAUUUGAUAAUUGCCGUUAUUAAAUUAUCGUUAAAUGUCUAUUUUGUUAUAGUGGAAGAAAUAAUUGCUUGCCAAACAUAUUCUUCAAAUGACUAUUCAAAUCCCCGCACCUUUCCCUGCUUGUAAUCGCGGCAGAAAAGGAUCCUGGUUAGUGCACCUUGGCCCAUUUACUACAAAUAGUGUAUAAGUUUUUCAACCAUAGAUUUCUCUCAAGGUCAUAGUCCUUCAACAUAGCAAACCAUUUUUCCUCUAUUUUCUCCACCAAUCGAGCUUCAUAAACACAAUCCUUUAAUGCUGUAGAGAAUUUUGUAUACUUGUUGAUAAUGCAACGGAGGUUGAUGUUGGCAUAUUGAAAAAUAUGUCAAACACACAAACUAUGUUAAUUUAGUAUUUGGAAGGUCCGUUGCAAUUUCUUUGCACAUGGCUUUACAUUGAUCGGAAUAGGAUGCUUGGUGGACAAACACUUUCGAAAGGUUUGGAAAGCCGUAUAAAGGAUUUUGUUGUCUUGUCACACAAUAAGGCCCACUUCAAAUAAAAUCGUUUUCUUAUGAUUAUUCACGUCAAGAAUUGGUGCAAACAACAUGUUAUAUUUGUUAGUUUCAAAGGCUGUGUUAAAGGAUACAACAUAACCAAAAUGUGCAACAGUGCAAGUCAACAAUCACACUUUAGUCAAAAAUUUUUAUGCUUAUCUUCUUUCUGUUUUUUGCACUACAUGAUGAAUUUAUUUAUUCUUUCAGAUGGAUGGAGAUGGAGGGUUUGCUUUCGUCCAAUGGGUACGUGAUGUUUGCACCCAAAGAAUGGACGACCUACAUAAUUUCUUCAAAAAGAAAGGCAACUUUUGACUGGAGGGAUGCUAGAGUCGUGACUCCCGUCAAAGCCCAAGGUACAUGCAGUAAGUUAAUUUUAUUUUAUAUAUUAUAAGACUUGUUAUUUUUUAAUACCGUUCAUUUAUUUUUAUUCAACGGUUUAGAUUUAAUUUUUUUUGAAAUUGUGACCUGUAAUAGCAGAUCACUUGGAGAGAGGUAACGGUUACCAAAUACCGAAAAAAGGGUAUUUUGGUCUUUUAAUAUAUAGAUAAUUAGUAAUUUUAUUUCUACUAUAAAAAAUUUAAAUCUCUAUUUACUCUUUAUUUAUGUUUUCUCUCUGUAUCUUUCCUCUUCAUCCACAGUGGAGAUGUAAAGAGAUAGGAUUCCUAAAAUUAAUGCCUCAAAUUUGGGAUUUCAAUCAAAUCUUAAAUUAAUGCUUAAAUUAGUUGCAAAAUUAAUGAUAAAUUUGGGAUAUUAAUCAAAUCUUUCUUAAGAUUUUGUCUAGUUUAAUUACAAACUACCCUUAAAUGAAAUAACUUUUUAAUCUGCUAUAUAAUGAAAUAACAUUUUUAACCUUCAUUAAUCAACAGUUAAGAUCUUUUAUAUUUUCUAUAAAAUAAAGUACCGAAUCAUUUAUCAUAUUAUAAACCAUAAAAGUGAUAGAUUCUAAUUUUUUUUUUGAAUUAUAGAUUCUUGUUGGGCCUUUGCUGCUGCUGCAGUAUGGGAUUAAAAAAGGAGAGUUGCUGAAUUUAUCAGCACAGCAGUUACUAAAUUGCACAAAUACUAGUUUCUUACAUGGCGGUAGUGAAGAAGGUGAAAACAUGUUUGCAGCAUUCAGCUAUAUGUUGGAAAAUGGAGGGCUUGCUAGGUGGGAGAACUACCCAUACAAAAUGCGGAAGGGCCGCUACAAUGGUCAACUCGCAAGGCAGCAAGCCGCGCAAAUCGAUUCGUUUCACAUCGAAAACUAUGUAAUUGAGAAUAGAUUAAGAGCACUAAUUGACAAGCAGCCUGUUGUGGCUCAAGUCUUAGCGAAUCGCUCAUUUGCCGACUAUGAUGGAGGAUUUUUUGCUGGAUAUCCUGCUGAAACUACUAAUCAUGAAGUAUUAAUAACUGGAUAUGGAACGGACCCGGAACAUAGAGAUUAUUGGAUGAUAAAAAAUUCCUAGGGCGAAGAAUGGGGAGAAGGAGGGUUCAUGAGAUUGAAACGAGGGGUAGGGGCUUGCGGAAUUAAUCAUCUGAUCGGUUUUNUGUAUAAUGAAGUCGGCACAUCAAAUGACAUCUCUCCAUCUGGCUUUGGAUAUCGAAUAAUAGUAUGCAGGUUAGAUCAAAACAAAACAAAACCUGUGGGAUAAAUAUAUUAGAGAGAGGUGAUAGAAAGGAUACAAACCUUUGUAUAGUUAGAUCAAAACAAAAUCAAAGGUGAUAGAAAGGAUACAAACUUCUAAUCCCCGUCAUAUAAACAAUAACAUUAUUAUUUAAUAGAAUAAGCGAAAUAAUUUUAAAAUUAAUAAUAUUGUUGUGGAAAAAAAAUUACCUUAUAAUCGGAAAACCGAUCAGAUGAUUAAUUCCGUAAGCCCCUACCCCUCGUUUCAAUCUCAUGAACCCUCCUUCUCCCCAUUCUUCGCCCUAGGAAUUUUUUAUCAUCCAAAAAUCUCUAUGUUCCGGGUCCGUUCCAUAUCCAAUUAUUAAUACUUCAUGAUUAGUAGUUUCAGUAGGAUAUCCAGCAAAGAAUCUUCCAUCAUAGUCGGCAAAUGAGCGAUUCGCUAAGACUUGAGCCACAACAGGCUGCUUGUCAAUUAGUGCUCUUAAUCUAUUCUCAAUUACAUAGUUUUCGAUGUGAAACGAAUCGAUUUGCGCGGCUUGCUGCCUUGCGAGUUGACCAUUGCAGCGGCCCUUCCGCAUUUUGUAUGGGUAGAUCUCCCACCUAGCAAGCCCUCCAUUUUUCAGCAUAUAGCUGAAUGCUGCAAACAUGUUUCCACCUUCUUCGCUAUCGCCAUGUAAGAAACUAGUAUCUGCGCAAUCUAGUAACUGCUGUGCUGAUAAAUUCAGCAACUCUCCUUUUUUAAUCCCAUGCUGCAGCAGCAGCGAAGGCCCAACAAGAAUCUAUAAUUCAAAAAAAAAAUUUAGAAUCUAUCACUUUUAUGGUUUAUAAUAUGAGAAAUGAUUCGGUACUUUAUUUUAUAGAAAAUAUAAAAGAUCUUAACUGUUGAUUAAUGAAGGUUAAAAAUGUUAUUUCAUUAUAUAACAGAUUAAAAAGUUAUUUCAUUUAAGGGUAGUUUGUAAUUAAACUAGACAAAAUCUUAAGAAAGAUUUGAUUAAUAUAUCAAAUUUAUCAUUAAUUUUGCAACUAAUUUAAGAAUUAAUUUAAGAUUUGAUUGAAAUCCCAAAUUUGAGGCAUUAAUUUUAGGAAUUCUAUCUCUUUACAUCUCUACUGUGGAUGAAGAGGAAAGAUAGAGAGAGAAAAAGGAAAUAAAGAGUAAAUAGAGAUUUGAUCUUUUUAUAGUAGAAAUAAAAUUCCUAAUUAUCUAUAUAUUGAAAGACCAAAAUACCAUUUUUUGGGUAUUUGGUAACCGUUACCUCUCUCCAAGUGAUCUGUUAUUAUAGGUCACAAUUUCAAAAAAAAUUAAAUCUAAACCGUUGAAUAAAAAUAAAUGAACGGUAUUAAAAAAUAACAAGUCUUAUAAUAUAUAAAAUAAAAUUAACUUACUGCAUGUACCUUGGGCUUUGACGGGAGUCACGACUCUAGCAUCCCUCUAGUCAAAAGUUGCCUUUCUUUUUGAAGAAAUUAUGUAGGUCGUCCAUUCUUUGGGUGCAAACAUCACGCACCCAUUGGACGAAAGUAAACCCUCCAACUCCAUCCAUCUGAAAGAAUAAAUAAAUUCAUCAUGUAGUGCAAAAAACAGAAAGAAGAUAAGCAUAAAAAUUUUUGACUAAAGUGUGAUCGUUGACUUGCACAUUUUGGUUAUGUUGUAUCCUUUAACACAGCCUUUGAAACUAACAAAUAUAACAUGUUGUUUGCACCAAUUCUUGACGUGAAUAAUCAUAAGAAAACGAUUUUAUUUGAAGUGGGCCUUAUUGUGUGACAAGACAACAAAAUCCUUUAUACGGCUUUCCAAACCUUUCGAAAGUGUUUGUCCACCAAGCAUCCUAUUCCGAUCAAUGUAAAGCCAUGUGCAAAGAAAUUGCAACGGACCUUCCAAAUACUAAAUUAACAUAGUUUGUGUGUUUGACAUAUUUUUCAAUAUGCCAACAUCAACCUCCGUUGCAUUAUCAACAAGUAUACAAAAUUCUCUACAGCAUUAAAGGAUUGUGUUUAUGAAGCUCGAUUGGUGGAGAACAUAGAGGAAAAAUGGUUUGCUAUGUUGAAGGACUAUGACCUUGAGAGAAAUCUAUGGUUGGAAAACUUAUACACUAUUUGUAGUAAAUGGGCCAAGGUGCACUAACCAGGAUCCUUUUCUGCCGCCAUUACAAGCAGGAAAGGUGCGGGGAUUUGAAUAGUCAUUUGGCCUCCGUUUGGUUCGGGGUUAAGGAAAAAGUAGCUAUUCCAGGGAUAGAGUUAAGUUCAGGGUUAAAGUGGAGUUAAAGUUUUUUUGUGUUUGGUUGGGGGUUGGAGUUAGUCUAGAAUAAUGAAAAAUAGUGUUUGGUUGGAGUAGGUGGGAUAAAAAGAUAAUGAUUGAUAAAGAAGGAUAAUGAUUGGUUGGAGUAUGUGUGAUAAGAAAGAUAGUGGGUUAUUAUGAAUAGAAAAUAGUGUUUGGUUGGAGUUUGGUGGGGUUAGGUGGGGUUAACUAACCCGGGAUAAUUUAUUUGAGGUGGGGUUAGCUAACCCCACCCAUUUUUUGGGGUGUUUGGGGAUAAAAUGGGGGUUAAGGGGUUAUUCCACCCCUUAACCCCCAACCAAACAAGGGCUUGAAGAAUAUGUUUGGCAAGCAAUUAUUUCUUCCACUAUAACAAAAUAGACAUUUAACGACAAUUUAAUAACGGCAAUUAUCAAAUGGCCAUUAUUAUUUGUUAUUAAUUUAUAUUUUAGCGACAAUUAUUUUCAACUAUAGUUUUUACCAACUAAUAAUUUUAUGUUAAAUAUAUCUAAUUUUGAGCCCUAAUAGAACCCUAACCCUAACCCAAACCAACCCGAUUGAUCCCACUCCACCGCUGUGAGACCCCAGAUAGUCCUAUAUAUAAGAUAUAAUAGAACUAUAACUCUAAAUCUGACUUAAGUAUUUUGGUUGGUGGCUAGGCCCAAUAUAAUAUACCGAGAAUUCGGAAAAUAAAUAUCGAACUUUAGUCAAAUUGGCCAAAGUGCGAGGAUGGUACACUUCGGAAAGUACGAAGGUGUUAAAAGGAUCAAAAGUGUGUUAUGGGAGGUUUUCGAGAGCUAAGGAAUCAAAAAUCUGCAUUCUGCAGGUUUUGUGCUCUCGGGGACUGGUCCCUGAAGGAGAGACCGGUCCCCGUACGCGUGAAAACAGAGGAAAGCUGAAAAUCGGCUAAGUCCUGAGAAGGCAGGCUUCAGGAACCGGUCCCUGCCUGAGAAACCGGUCCUCCGGAGACCGGUCCCCCAAAGAGAGACCGGUCGCCUCAUGCGUGGAGCCGGGAGGACCUACGGGAACCGGUCCUUGGUCGGGGAGACUGGUCCCCGCAUGCGAAAUCUGUCAGUCCAGGCAGUUGAAUAAGAUGAAAGUUGAGGGGUUUAGCUGCAAUUUUGCAACCCAUAGAGAUAUGUAAGAGGGGUAAUGAGGUAUUUCUCUUAUUCUCACCCUCUCAUCACCUCUCAUCUCUCAUUCUCUCUCUAGAAGACAAGAAGAAGAAGAAGAAGACAAGAAAAAGAAGAAGAAGAAAGAGGAGAACAAGAAGAAGGAGUGAAGAAACUCCCUCUCUCUCAUCUCUAGUUUGGAAAAGGAAAGCUUACAAGGUAAGCUUUGAACCUUAAUCAUGGUAGAAACCAAAUUAGGGUUUGGAUUAGAUUAAAGAUGGUUUUUAUAGAAUCUCUAGAGUCUUUGAAGCUUUCUUUUGCUUCCUUUUGAGAUCAAAAUCAUGGAAUGGUGGAAAUGGUGAAGCUUGAAUGAAAGCUUCAACCUCCUCUCAUGGUGAAACCCAAGCUAGGGUUUUAAUAAAGCUAAGAAUGGUUUAGAUGGACUCUUUAGAGUGUAAUGAAGCCUCUUUUGCUUUCAAUUGAGAUCAAAUCCUAGGUUUGAUAUAUGCUAUGGAGCUAGGGCACCCAAAUUGGGGCUUUUACUCAUGAGAAUUUCUAAGUGAAAUUGACCCUUUAGAAACCUAAUUGGGGGUAUUCCCGACGCGUUGGUGCGCUCGGAUUAGCGUUACGAAAAGUCUAUAAAACGUUAUGGGCAAAAUGGCCUAAGUUGGCUUCGUUUUGCCGCAGGUAAAGAACGAAAGAUCUAAAAAUCUCAAGAAAAUCAUCGGAGCACCUUUGUGAACCUACGAGGUGGGUGGUGCUUUUCAAACUCGUUGAACUUCCCUCUAUGCCUAAUGUGUCAUUCAAUUGAACAUAUAUAUAUAUAUAUAUAUAUAUAUAUUGUUGCAUGCAUUUUAGGGUAAAGCAAUGAUAAAAAUGUGAUGUUGCAUGAUUGUAAGUACAACUUGCGUAAUGUGAUGGUUAAGAACCUUAUGAAUGUCAAAAAUUCUAUAUAUGUAUGUAUGAGAGAAAAUGCGAGUACCAAAGUGAGGCGAAAGAAUAGAGUGACACAAUGAGACAUAGAUCGAGUGGCAUUUGAUAAUGUAAAGUAAAGUGACACUAGAGGUAGUGUGAGGCAAAGAAUCAAUGUGAUGUAAAGAAUAAUGAUAAUGACUAAAGUGAAAGCAAAGUGGGGCGUAAAGAACAUGAAUGCUAAGAUAGCCAAAAGUAAAGAAAUGUAAAGAACAUGAAUGCUAAAGAUAGCCAAAAGUAAAGAAAUGUAAAGAACAUGAAUGCUAAAGAUAGCCAAAGUAAAGUAAAGAACUGAAUGCUAAAGAUAGCCAAAGUAAAGAAAUGUAAGAAAUGAUUGCUAAAGAUAACCAAAAGUAAAGAAAUGUAAAGAACAUGAUUGCUAGAGUUAGCAAAAGUAAAGAAAGGUAAAGAACAAUGAUUGCUAGAGUAGCAACAUAAAUGAUGUAAAGAAACAUAGAGUUAGGCCCGUUCGGAUACCUCUAAAAAUGUAGCAUAGUUAAACUAUGCUACACCGAUAGGAAAAUAAUCCUAUGAACGCUUUGGAAGAAAAAAAAAUAACGUAAUUUUUGGAGUAUAGUUAUACUAUACUCCAAAAAAUGGAGUAAACUUACAAUCCACUUUAACCAAGGAAAAAAAUUCCACCAAUUUUGGGCUCCCAAGAUGUAUCAACUUUCUAAAUUUUAAAUUUAACAUAAAUUUUUAAAUUUCAAAAUUUAAAAUUUAAAAUUCAAUUUUAAUUUUGAUUUUAAAUUUCAAAUUUCGAAAUUCAAAUUUCAAAAUUCAAAAAGUUCAAAUUUCAACUUUCAAAUUUCAACUUUCAAAUUUCAAAUUUCAAAUUUUCAAAUUUCAAAAAAUUGAAAUUUCAAAUUUCAACUUUCAAAUUUCAAAUUUCAAAAAGUUCAAAUUUCAACUUUCAAUUUCAAAUUUCAAAAAGUUCAAAUUUCAAAUUCAAAUUUUAAUUAAUUUUUGAUUUUUAAUUUUCAAUUUUCAAAAUUAAUUAAACUUAAAUUUUAAAUUUUAAAUUUAUAAAUAUGUAAAUUUAUAAAUUAUUAAAUUUAAAAUUUAAAAUUUAAAAUUUUAAUUAUAGAUUUUUUAAAUUUCAAAUUUUAAAGUUUAAAUGGUAUAUUUUAAAUUUUAAAAUUUAAAGUUUCAAAUUUCAAGUUUUAAAUUUCAAAUUCCAAAUUUCAAAUUUCAAAUUUAAAACAUAAAAUCUAAUUUAAUUUUUUAAUUUUAAAUUUUAAAUUUUAAUUUUAUAUUUUGAAUUUUGAAUUUUAAUUUUGAAAAUUUUAUUUUUAAAUUUUGAAUUUUGAAUUUUGAAUUUUGAAUUUUGAAUUUUAAAUUUUAAAUUUUGAAUUUUGAAUUUUAAAAUUUUAGAAAUUUAAUUGUUAUAAAUACUGUGGAAUUGUAUGAUCUGUAUCCAAACAGCUUAAAAAUGAAGCUGUGGAAUUUUUUUUUAGUUACAGGAUUCCGUAUUUCAAUUAGACCAAAACCAUAGAAUAAAAAUUCCAUGGAGUUUUUUAACUAUGCAUCUAAACAGGGCUUAAGUGUAAAGUCAAGAUUGAACAUACAAUCCUUUGAGUUAAGGAUUCGAUCAUACUUGCUAUGAGUUCCGUGCCCGAGGGUGGUCGCUCCCCCUCGGGCGAUGCGCUCCAGAGUUUUGCAUCACGGGUUGGAGUAAACCCGAGGACGGUCUUAGCGGGAGGAAGCUCAGGGCCCGCUAUGAUGGACUUAAUGUGAAGUAAGUUAAUGUGGCGAAACUCCCGGGUUAGCCUUGAGAUUAAAGUACAAAGAGCAAAGAACAAAGAACAAAGACAAAGUGUAAAGAGCAAAAAACAAAGAACAAAGACAAAGUGUAAAGAGCAAAGAACAAAGAACAAAGACAAAGUGUAACAUGCAAAGAACAAAAGAACUUGCAUAAUCUGCAUAUGUUAAUAUUGAGCAUAUUUUCUGCUUAUUGUUCAGGCAUAUUAGCAUCAUAUUAUAGAUUGGUUACUAUAUGCAGCUUUUUCUUUCUAUUAUGCCUGAGUUAGUCCUAGUGGAAAAGUCGGUGAGAUUGAGGCCGAACCCACUGGGAACUUUGUUGUAGUUCUCACCCCACUAUUUUCACAGAGCCGGGACCGAGCGAGCCGGCGAGCGAUCGCGGUAAAGGUAUCACGCCAUAGUCAGAGGCCACCGGUGCUGGGUUACAUUUUGUAGUAGAGUACCCUAUAAUCAUCUUUUGUAUUUGAUGAUAAAUGAUGUAAAGAAAAGAAUGUAAAACACCCUUUUGAGGUAAAUGUGAUGUAAGGAAGAAAUGAUGUAAUGAAAUGUAAGGAAUUUGAAAAUGUACAAGUUGGACUUAAUGUAUAUGAUGUAAAUUGAAUCAUAGUACAAGUGAAUGUUUAGUUUCCUUUCUUUCACUCAUGGCUAUUGCUUACCCUCGUGUAAGCCGUAUUUGUAUGUUUUCGCUAGUGCACUUCUUUGUUUGAAAAUGUACAUGUGAUGAGCCUUGGGCGGACAGGAAAAAUUCUGUUCGUUCGGCGUCUGUUUGACGUGCUCGGGCCGGCCCAAAUUAGUAUCGGUCCCGGGGCGUGACACCCAAGAGGUUAAGAGAGUUAAGCGUGCUAGGACGGGAGUAGUCCUAAGUUAGGUGACCCCUGGAAAGUUGGGGCGUCACAACCGCGCCUCUCCCAUGCGUCGACCUCACACGAACGCCCCGCCCUCCCCUCCUCUCUGAGCUCGAGCUUCCUCGAGCACCACCAAAUCGCUGGCAUCGUCCACUUCACCGCUGUCGACAACGUCUACAAUCUCUAGUUAUUUUGUGGGUAAAUGUAGAAAUCGCUCACUUAAUUACCUUUUCAUUAUUUUUCCGGUGUUAAUUUAUCUCAUGACUUAGGAGGUAUUGGAAUGGAAAAUUGCGUAAACUGAAUGGAAAUUUGUUGAUUAAUGUUGAUUUUUUAUGGGAAACGAAUUAACUUGAAUUUUGCAUAUUUUUUCUUGAUAUGAACGAAAUCAAUCGGGUUGCAUUGAGUUUGGAUCAUUAAAAUCAGUAGUAGUGCUUUUCUCCUUAUUUCAAAUGAUAAUUUUAAGGGAAAUAGCCUUACGUUUUGAUUUUUAUUUCUAUACAUUUUUCAAACUCUAAAUAUAAUAUCAGAGCCUAGAUGAAUGGUUCUAAGAUCUAGAAAGUCCCCUGAUAUUAUUCAUAUUUAACUCUCAAUGUUUAUGUGAUUUAUCGCUUUGCCCUUUCUUUGGCACUUUUCUAUGAUAAUACGAUGCAUUAGUUUUUCUAUAGCCUAGGCGUGUAAUAAAUAGUAGUAGCUAGUGAGGGAAAUUGGUGGAGGAAUGAAGUGAAAGAACAACAAGGAAAGAAAAGGGGGAAUUGAUAUUGAAGAAGUAAGCUACUAAUGUUUUGUGAGGCUAAAGCAGAAAUUGUCGUUGUAUCUGUUUUCAUGUGGCUUAGGAGGACCCAUGCAGGGAGAGAGAGCAUUAAUUAUAGAAGCCUUGCUAAAGUGUCCUCCUAUUAGGGAAUGAGGCAGUUGUAAGAGACUCCGUCAACUAGUUGCAGGCAAUAUGCAAUUUUCUUGGGGCCAAAAUGCAAAGUUUUUGAGUGGUCUGCUAAUGCUUAUAGAUAUCGUAAACAAUUUGUCCUGAGAUUCGCUGGUGGGCGGUGUGAUGAGUGGUUAGAACAUUGCAAGGUUUUAAUAAUAGGACAUGUCUAGGUUUUAGGGCCUUGUCGUUGCUCUUUUAUUAUUUCUUAUUUCAUCAAAUCUUCAAUUGAAAUCCUUGAAACAAUCGAAAGAGUCAAAAGUGAAGCAUUUGGCAUCAAGGGUGGUAAAUAGGCUUUUGCAUUUGAAUUUUGUGGUCUCUAUCAACUAGUAAUUGUGCUUGUGUAUUGUAUUUGUUAGACUUUUUUUAGUUAUGUAGAAUAAUAUUGUGAAUAUGUAAACCUUCUGAUGAUCAACAUAUUUUGUGGCUCAGCUAGUUAUAUAUGCUAGUAUUCAAAGGUGAAAUGCAUGAUGUUUUUUCUUGUGACCAUUUGUUUGCAUCUUUUUAAUUGUCGUUUUUUUUUUUUUUUUGAUAAGUUGAUAUUAAAAUUUUCUUUCCCAUUUGGUCUUUAGCUUUUUUCUUAUUAUCCAUUUCAUGACAAAUUUUAUGGAAUAAACUCAUCAUCCUCCAAUAACAUAACCAUUAGCAGCGAGUAUGUUUAAUAACGCGUUGAUUUUAGGCGUCAGUUAUAAUAGUUAAAGAUGAUGCUACUAACUAACAAAUACCAAUCAAACUAUUUCUUUGGUCUUUUGCCUGUCUCUGCUUAUAUUUUGGAUUGAAUUGUAGCAUCGCCUUUCUAUACAUGUAGGGGCUAUCAAAGACUCGGUAGUUGGUGAAGAGUGUCCGAUGCAGAUCUGGAUGGGUUGAAGACGUACUUUCGAUGUCGUAGACGCAAUCAGAACCUUUAGAUUGAUUUUAUGAGAGCUCUAUCAGUGGUUUAGAUUUAAUUUAGAAACUUAUCUCUUACUUUAGAUUCAGAUUUUUAGAUGUAUUUUUAUUAUUACGUUGAUAUAGUUUUCUUUGGUAGACUGGCGGAGCAUGUGAUUAACACUAUAUGGUUGAUAUAGUUUUCUUUGGUAGACUGACGGAGCAUGUGAUUAAUACUAUAUGAUUAGAUGUUGUCAAUUGUUUGAACAAAUGAGAAAAAUAUUUGUAUGAAAAAAAAGCCUUUUUAGACUAUAGAAAAGCCUUUUUUUUUUAAUUGGUCUGUUCAAUAGAUGAUGGGGAUUUAAACUUGAGCCUGGUAACUCAAGCAACAGAGAAUGACAUUAAUACUAUCAGAUCAGAUAUUGUCAAUUGUUAGAACAAAUGGGAGAAAAAAAACUAUAUUAUAAAAGUGUUUCUUGGGAUUUUUUUCUUUUUAGUAUAAGCAGAGAAAAAAUUGUCUUUUGUUUGGCCCUUUAUUUCUGAUUGGUUCAUGCUACGAUGAUUUGAUGUAGAAAGCAGGAGGGAUGAUUCGAACAUGCAACAAUUAGUGCAGUUAGUGCUAAAUUAACUAAUACCUCCUUAGAUAUAAUUACCAGAAAAGUAUUAUCUUGUCGCAGUUGGCAGAUUUGGAAUUGUAUGAAGCUCCUUGGUACAUGUUUAUGUAUUUGAUUUGGUUUGUUAUUUUCUUCAUUUUUUUAAAACUCCUAUAAUAAUGUUGGAUCUAGUUAAUAUCCGUCUUUCAUUACAAUGUUAUUUUAUCCUACUUUAGAAUGUAUAUGAAUACUUAAAGAAAUCUUUCUGCUUAUGAUAAGAAUAUAUUUGGUGUUGCAUUUUCUUUUCACAUAAUAUUCUCUCUUCUAACUAUUUUACUGUUUUGAUUGAAUAUGUUCAACUGAAAAGGUACAUUACUUGAAUAGCAUAACUAGACUUAGAUUUGUUGACAAUACUAAAUAGUGAAUCCACAUUUACUAAUUAGUGUUUGGGAAGAUGUGGCUUUCAAUUGCUCAGUGACAAAUAGAUUUCAACAUCAAUUGAUCUCAAGUUCAAUGCAAAAUGAUAGAUGCAGGUACUCUAAUACACUACUACAUAUGCAAUUAGUAGGCAUUCUAAAUAGUGAUUACCAAAUCUGGUUUAACAUAGAUGCUGCCUAGCAUCACUUAUGUUUAAGGAAAAAUGGUUCUAGGUUGCCUUGGUUUUUUUAUAGUUUAGAAAGAUACCAAUAGAAACCCAAAGUAAACUAAUAAAAAAAUGGAAUGUAGAGAAUACAUAUGAGAACUAUUAUAUUGGUGAUUUAUUGCUGUAGAAUAAUUAGUGUAGAUACUUUUGGACUUUAUCUGUAUACUGUGGCAGUAGUUAUGUUCCACAUGGCCUCUACAAGUUUUAGAUAGAAAUAAACGAAGCGGGUAGCGUGCCAAUCUCUCUUAAAAAAAAAAAAAAAAAAAAACUUUUAUACCGAACACAAAGGUGGUGCCAAGUUAGUAUGGCAGAAUUGUAGAGGAAUAGAAAGAAAGUGGAGCAGCGGAGGAGAUGGUGACAAGAGGCCCUGGGUGAAAUCAAACCGCAUUAAUAAGCAAAAAAGAUGCAUGCUACGAAAUUGCGGCAUUUAUAUGAAAGAAAAUAGAAAGCACAAUAGCCAUAGGGCCUAAAAUAGUAAGUUUCGCAUCCUACGAGCUUUGAAUGGUGCUUGUGUUUGCAGCUUCUAAAGGUCUACAAUUUCUAUGUUUAUAAAUCGAUCAGUAUAUUUUUGUUUCUAAUUUGGUUUGUUUAAGCCUGUUGGAAUUUUUUUUUGCAUAUCUUUCUUUGGUAAACGAAGUUGAUCUAAAUUAAUAAACAAAACAGUGCUGGAAAAAAAUAGUUGUUUAGUAAAAACCAAAAUGCAGGGCCUCGCAACCUACAUAUUGCACAAAGUGCUCUGUACAUUUGGAUUUUGCCUGUGCCGACCUUGCUCCUUGCGCGGUCUAAGCUUUACUCUAACUAAGAAAAAGAGCUUGAAUGGUUUGUAACCUGUUUAUCUAUGCUCGGCAAUACUGUUUCCUACGUGUGGAUUAAUUCGUAUUCUCUUAUUUUGAUUGUGAUGAUCUUGCUUCUUAAUUAGUUUCAGAAAAGGUAUUUGCUGUCGAUUUUUAUGUAAGCAUAUGAGCAAGACAUUGCUGAAAAACUUACUAUGUUUUCGAAUAAGAAUUUUAUUUGUUUAUGCUGUGAUGCAACACAUGAGUUUUGAUAUUUGCUUCUGGUACGAUACAGUGUAUGAAGUUUGAUAUUUCUCGAUUUAGUUUAGUAUUUGAGUUGGCUCUGGUUUCCAGCUCGAUUGCUACUUAUUUUGUAAUUUAUUUGCCGUUGGCAUUUUUUGCAGACCUGUUUGGCGCCAAAUUAGUAUAGUUUGGCUUAUAUGUUGUCAAUGCUUUUCCUAAACUCAUGUUUUUCCUAAACUGAUACCAAUUCGCAGCUUGCAUGGACUCAAUUUAGUUUGCUUGAGACAAGAUGGCAUGCUUCGUAAUGAGAAGCCUUUUCAUUACAGUAGGCUAUUUGUUUUGUAGGAAUAAAGAUGAGUAUACUAUAGGAGCAUAUUAUAUUUUUUUAACUGUUCUCGAAUAUUUGUAAUCAUUUGUUUUGUUCUCCAAGCAUACCAGCGAGGGAAGGAGAAAAAUAGUUACACUCCGACGAUGACGGUGACCGCGAUAGAGGGCAAGAAAAAGAUCUUGAUCAAAAAAUUGUAGAGACAAAAAAAUGAGAAUAAUAAAAAAUAAAAAUAAAAAAUAUUUUUUUCUACAGAAAAGAUUAAAAAUUAUAAAAAAAGAAUAAGAAAAUAAAAUUGCACUAUUAAAAUAAAAUUAUACUAUUUUUUAAAAAUAUUGGUAUUAUUUUAAAUAAAAAUUACAUAUUUGAGGUAAAAAUUAUAUUCUUUGGAAUAAGAAUUACACUCUUUAGAUGAAAGUUGUACUAUUUUGAUAAAAUUUAUAUUAUUUUUUUUUUCUUCUUCCUCCUCCUUUCCUUUUGCUUUCUCGUCCUCCUCCUUCUCCUCCUCCUUCCUCUUCAGCUCACAGACGGCGCCGCCUGCUGUCAAUGUACAUGCCGCCGCCGCCGCUGCCGUACGUGACUUUUUUGAUGAUGUUUUUUUUUGUCUUGUAAUUAUUGUGUGAAUAGGUGUUUGAUAAUGAGGGGUUUGUAAUAUUUCUUUUUCAUACCGAGUGACACGUUUCAAGAUUAAACUAUUUAUUUUUGGUGCAUAAUUAUUGGAGCAAUAGUUGAUCUUGCUGGAUGGUGGUACUGCAUCGGCUGUGUGUUAAUUAAUAAAUCAAUUAGGAAUGAAAAAUACAUGCAUUUUGAGUGUUUUUUUUUCCCCUCUUAUUAGCUUGUAACUGUUCUUCAUCCACUUCAUCAACGAAAUACUAUUCGCCAAAAAAGUCAUGUACGACGGCGGAGGCAGCAGCGGGAGCAUGUACAACGGGGGCGCCAGCGGCGGCUGCUGCGAGCUAAAGAGGAAGGAGGAGAAGGAGGAAGGAGGAGGAGAACGAGAAAGCGGAGGAGAAGGAAAAAGAGAAAGACAGAGAAAUAAGAAAUGAUAUAAAUUUUACCCAAAUAGUAUAAUUUUCGCCUAAAAGUAUAACUAUUAUUCUAAAAAGUAUAAUUUCUGUCUCAAAAAGUAUAACUUUUGUUUAAAAUAGUGCAAAUUUUUUUUAAAAUAGUGUAACUUUUUUUAACAGUGUAAUUUUAUUUUUUUCUUUUUCCUUCUAAUUUUUGAUCUUUCAUGUAGAAAAUAAUUUUUUUUAUUUUUUAUUAUUCUUUUUUUUUCUUUAUAAUUUUUUUUGUCACAAUCUUUUUUUUACCUUCUUUUUAAUGUCCUUAAGGUUUAGCUGUCUGAGAGACUGCAACAUCUAUAGCUUAUCGACACGUCUAGAAAGUGUCAGGAUAAGUCGGAGUCGUUUUAACGCGAAUUGGACGCAAAACGGAUUCGGCACAGUGCGAGAGUGGAGUUCUGGCACUGAAAGCUGCAAACUGCAUAAUUUCUGUGUUGAGUAUCGGUAUGUGGGAGGAAUACCGAUACCCCAGAGAGAUUACAGAACUGAAUGCUCUCAGGUUUGCGCAGUUUG
This 19424-nucleotide long non-coding RNA is filed under the name Ananas comosus (pineapple). RNAcentral's name for it is "long non-coding RNA (ACOM_LNC000324)". The record is from RNAcentral. Lineage: Eukaryota; Viridiplantae; Streptophyta; Magnoliopsida; Poales; Bromeliaceae.